This is a long non-coding RNA of Raphanus sativus (radish), 1230 nucleotides long. RefSeq lists it as uncharacterized. The transcript has 3 exons. The record is from RefSeq and is a predicted model, not a curated record. NCBI's taxonomy places the organism in Eukaryota, Viridiplantae, Streptophyta, Magnoliopsida, Brassicales, Brassicaceae.
UUUUUUUGUUUUUAGUCGCGUAGGUUAUCGGUUUCUCUUUUACGAAGGCGACGGCGAAAGAGAUUGUCGGAAUAUUACUUUACGAUAUCAGAGAAGACGAGAGGCGACAGCGAGAUUUCGACGAGGUGGCGAGAUUUCGACGAGCAGGAGAAGACGAGAGGCGACAACGAGAUUUCGACGAGACGGAGACGAGCAGGCAAAGAAGUUGCGGCGGAGGAGGAUAAUACGGGUGAUGUACCCGAUGAGAUGUUGUCGGAGAGGCGGUUUGCCACAGACAGGUGCCCAAGUAAACGGCUCAACGUUUACUCAACAUUGGGUUACCUUGUCUUCGUUAGGGAAGUACUUAAAGGAACGCCUGAGAUGGAUCGGAUUUUGGGUUCUUGAUUUGGGAAAUUGUUCACCUUACCGGUACGGAGGUGCGCCCAGUCGUCUAAACUGGGGCACGGCCUGCUAAUGAGGCCGGCAAUGACGAUUCAGAGCUCAUAAACUGCAAUAAGUUGCCAUAGCACGCUGGGCUCAACCUUAGAUGUUUUGGAUGCGGACCACGACCCUGAGGUAAAGCUAUAACAAUGACAAAUGUGUAGAAGAUGUGAUUUGUGGGGUUGGCAGGAUCAGGAGUGAUUAUGUGUGUACACAUGUACACUAAGUCCUACAGUGGGCAUGUGUACAACAAACAUCGAUGUCCACAAGUUAUCAUAUACAUCUGUACACUUUCUACCCCUUGUACGCGGCUAAUUUUCCAGCCUAUGAUGGAGGCCGAGGCGUACAAGUCAGUUGGGUGGGGGUCAUGAGAUGAUGAGAUUGACGAUCAUAAGGUGGAAUAUAUGAUUGGGCUUAUUGAAGGUGGGUACAAGUUCGAGAAAUCAGAGUGGGGAGGGGUGAUGCUGCGGAGGUUUUGUACAAGCAGAAGGAGCAUAAGGCACCGUCAACGGAAAAAUAGCAGUGUACUGGAUCAAGUAGCAAUGUGGGGAAAGGUCCGGUGUGUAGACUUUGUUCAUGUACUUAGUGGAACCAGAUGAAUAUCUGUACAUGUGUACACUAUAAUGUAGGCUUAGUUCAUAGAUGUCCACAUGUACACUUGCUCAUUGAUGUACACCUUUACACUUUGUUCGCAUGUGUAAAGACUAGUAUGAUUUCAGUUGUAUCAUCUUUCCAAUUUGUUUUUUUUUGUCAGGACAGUUUGUAUCAACCGGUGCUAAGUUGUGAGAAAAACACCCACCUGACCUGCUA